UUUCCGUAGGCGAACCUGCGGAAGGAUCAUUAAAAAUGAAGCCGGGAAACCGGUCCUUCUAACCCUUGAUUAUCUUAAUUUGUUGCUUUGGUGGGCCGCGCAAGCACCGGCUUCGGCUGGAUCGUGCCCGCCAGAGGACACAACUCUGUAUCAAAUGUCGUCUGAGUACUAUAAAAUAGUUAAAACUUUCAACAACGGAUCUCUUGGUUCUG
This 212-nucleotide unclassified non-coding RNA is filed under the name plant metagenome. RNAcentral's name for it is "partial contains small subunit ribosomal RNA, internal transcribed spacer 1, and 5.8S ribosomal RNA". The record is from RNAcentral.